GCUGAAUGUGGGGAUAAUUUAUCUCCGUGUUGUAGCUAACGCGUUAAGCACUCCGCCUGGGGACUACGGUCGCAAGACUAAAACUCAAAGGAAUUGACGGGGACCCGCACAAGCGGUGGAACAUGUGGUUUAAUUCGAUGCAACGCGAAAAACCUUACCACUCCUUGACAUGGAGAUUAGAUCCUUCUUAACAGAAGGGCGCAGUUCGGCUGGAUCUCGCACAGGUGCUGCAUGGCUGUCGUCAGCUCGUGUCGUGAGAUGUUGGGUUAAGUCCCGCAACGAGCGUAACCCUCAUCCUUAGUUGCCAGCGGGUAAGCCGGGCACUUUAAGGAAACUGCCGGUGGUAAACCGGAGGAAGGUGGGGAUGAUGUCAAGUCAGCACGGCCCUUAUGGGGUGGGCUACACACGUGCUACAAUGGUGACUACAAUAGGUUGCAAUGUCGCAAGGCUGAGCUAAUCCGUAAAAGUCAUCUCAGUUCGGAUUGUCCUCUGCAACUCGAGGGCAUGAAGUCGGAAUCGCUAGUAAUCGUGGAUCAGCAUGCCACGGUGAAUACGUUCUCGGGUCUUGUACACACUGCCCGUCACGCCAUGGGAAUUGGCUUAACUCGAAGCUGGUGCGCUAACCGAAAGGAAGCAGCCAU
This 641-nucleotide ribosomal RNA is filed under the name uncultured Anaplasma sp. RNAcentral's name for it is "bacterial SSU rRNA". It matches the Rfam family "Bacterial small subunit ribosomal RNA", at positions 815 to 1456 of the family's 1533-position model. Lineage: Bacteria; Pseudomonadati; Pseudomonadota; Alphaproteobacteria; Rickettsiales; Anaplasmataceae. The record is from RNAcentral.